GUGACAUAAUAAAAAUAAUAAGAACUGAGCAAAAACAAUAAGUCUCCAAACUUUGUUUGGGAGACUUAAUUAAAAAGGGGGAAGGAUAUUAAAAAUCGAAUAAGUAACGAAUAAGGAAUAGGGAAUAAGUAACGAAUAGGUAACGAUAGGGAAUAGGGAAUAAGUAACAAAUAGGUAACGAAUAGGGAAUUAGGGAAUAGGUAACGAAUAGGGAAUAGGGAAUAGGUAACGAAUAGGUAACGAAUAGGGAAUAGGGAAUAGGUAACGAAUAGGUAACGAAUAGGGAAUAGGGAAUAGGUAACGAAUAGGUAACGAAUAGGGAAUAGGGAAUAGGUAACGAAUAGGGAAUAGGG
This 353-nucleotide long non-coding RNA is filed under the name Mytilus galloprovincialis (Mediterranean mussel). The record is from RNAcentral. Lineage: Eukaryota; Metazoa; Mollusca; Bivalvia; Mytilida; Mytilidae.